This 1777-nucleotide ribosomal RNA is filed under the name Meloidogyne arenaria. RNAcentral's name for it is "SSU rRNA". It matches the Rfam family "Eukaryotic small subunit ribosomal RNA". Lineage: Eukaryota; Metazoa; Nematoda; Chromadorea; Rhabditida; Meloidogynidae. The record is from RNAcentral.
UCUGGUUGAUCCUGCCUGAACUGAUGUGUUCAUUUCAAAGAUUAAGCCAUGCAUGUAUAAGUUUAAUCGUUUUAACGAGAAACCGCGAACGGCUCAUUACAAUGGCCAUGAUUUACUUGAUCUUGAUUAUCUAAAUGGAUAACUGUGGAAAAGCUAGAGCUAAUACAUGCACCAAAGCUUUGUCCUCUCGGAAAAGCGCAUUUAUUAGAACAAAACCACGCGGCUUCGGCUGCUUCUUGUUGACUCAGAAUAACUAAGCUGACCGCAUGGCCUUGUGCCGGCGGCGUGUCUUUCAAGCGUCCACUUUAUCAACUUGACGGGAGCAUAAUCGACUCCCGUGGUGGUGACGGAUAACGGAGGAUCAGGGUUCGACUCCGGAGAAGGGGCCUGAGAAAUGGCCACUACGUCUAAGGAUGGCAGCAGGCGCGCAAAUUACCCACUCUCGGCUCGAGGAGGUAGUGACGAGAAAUAACGAGAUCGUUCUCUUUGAGGCCGGUCAUCGGAAUGGGUACAAUUUAAACCCUUUAACGAGUAUCAAGCAGAGGGCAAGUCUGGUGCCAGCAGCCGCGGUAAUUCCAGCUCUGCUAAUACAUAGAAUUAUUGCUGCGGUUAAAAAGCUCGUAGUUGGAUUCGUAUCGGUACCCUGGAACCCUCCGGGUGUUUCUGGGUGUUAUCGGUUUAUCGUAAUGUUCGGUUUUGAGUCCUUAACAGGAUUCUUAACAGGCAUUGCAAGUUUACUUUGAACAAAUCAGAGUGCUUCAAACAGGCGUUUUCGCUUGAAUGAUCGUGCAUGGAAUAAUAGAAAACGAUUUCGGUUCAGUUUUUAUUGGUUUUACGGACUGAGAUAAUGGUUAACAGAGACAAACGGGGGCAUUUGUAUGGCCCCGUGAGAGGUGAAAUUCUUGGACCGUGGCCAGACAAACUACAGCGAAAGCAUUUGCCAAGAAUGUCUUCAUUAAUCAAGAACGAAAGUCAGAGGUUCGAAGGCGAUCAGAUACCGCCCUAGUUCUGACCGUAAACGAUGCCAACUAGCGAUCCGCCGAUGGAAAUUAUAUUGCCUUGGUGGGGAGCUUCCCGGAAACGAAAGUCUUCCGGUUCCGGGGGAAGUAUGGUUGCAAAGCUGAAACUUAAAGGAAUUGACGGAAGGGCACCACCAGGAGUGGAGCCUGCGGCUUAAUUUGACUCAACACGGGGAAACUUACCCGGCCCGGACACUGUGAGGAUUGUCAGAUUGAUAGCUUUUUCAUGAUUCAGUGGAUGGUGGUGCAUGGCCGUUCUUAGUUCGUGGAGUGAUUUGUCUGGUUUAUUCCGAUAACGAGCGAGACUCUAACCUACUAAAUAGCUGGUACAUAAUUUACGUGUAUACAGCUUCUUAGAGGGAUUUGCGGUGUUCAGCCGAAAGAAAUUGAGCAAUAACAGGUCUGUGAUGCCCUUAGAUGUCCGGGGCUGCACGCGCGCUACACUGGCAAAAUCAACGUGCUUGUCCUACCCCGAAAGGGGGGUAAACCAUUGAAAAUUUGCCGUGAUUGGGAUCGGAAAUUGCAAUUAUUUUCCGUGAACGAGGAAUUCCAAGUAAGUGCGAGUCAUCAGCUCGCGUUGAUUACGUCCCUGCCCUUUGUACACACCGCCCGUCGCUGCCCGGGACUGAGCCAUUUCGAGAAAUUUGGGGACCGUUGAUUUAAUUUUUCUAAAUUACUUUGAUGGAAACCAAUUUAAUCGCAGUGGCUUGAACCGGGCAAAAGUCGUAACAAGGUAGCUGUAGGUGAACCUGCUGCUG